GACGAACGCUGGCGGCGUGCCUAAUACAUGCAAGUUGAGCGCUGAAGGUUGGUACUUGUACCAACUGGAUGAGCAGCGAACGGGUGAGUAACGCGUGGGGAAUCUGCCUUUGAGCGGGGGACAACAUUUGGAAACGAAUGCUAAUACCGCAUAAAAACUUUAAACACAAGUUUUAAGUUUGAAAGAUGCAAUUGCAUCACUCAAAGAUGAUCCCGCGUUGUAUUAGCUAGUUGGUGAGGUAAAGGCUCAACAAGGCGAUGAUACAUAGCCGACCUGAGAGGGUGAUCGGCCACAUUGGGACUGAGACACGGCCCAAACUCCUACGGGAGGCAGCAGUAGGGAAUCUUCGGCAAUAGACGGAAGUCUGACCGAGCAACGCCGCGUGAGGGAAGAAGGGUUUCGGAUCGUAAAACUCUGUUGGUAGAGAAGAACGUUGGUGAGAGUGGAAAGCUCAUCAAGUGACGGUAACUACCCAGAAAGGGACGGCUAACUACGUG
This 497-nucleotide ribosomal RNA is filed under the name uncultured bacterium. RNAcentral's name for it is "partial 16S ribosomal RNA". It matches the Rfam family "Bacterial small subunit ribosomal RNA", at positions 28 to 507 of the family's 1533-position model. The record is from RNAcentral.